CUCCUCUGAUACCUGGUAUGAUUGACGGCUGCUAUUGCUUUGGUGCCCGCGGCAGCUCAUGAAGCGUUUUGGCAGUCUUAGAGGAAGCAAGAAACAAAAGGACCAGGGCAGAAGCUCUGAGAGGCGCAAAUCUGAACCUCAUGGCCUUUUAGAUGGGGAACCUGAGAUACAGAGAUGUGAACUGAUGUGCCCAAGGUAUAGAAGCAGACCCAAGAUUAGAAUUUGUGUUCCCUGUUGGUAGAAUCACCCUUAAACCUGCCAUUUCAAAGUCCAAUUACACACCUGUGUGAAAGGACAGUGAGAUUGCAGACAGGUUUACGAUGGACCGUAUGGAUUGUGUGAUACACAACCUGUCAGUUAGGGCUAUGCUACUGCUCUACUGCUUCGUUUUAUGGAUGUUCAUAUCAUACGGCUCAUUUGAUCUACUUCCUGUCUGAGAAGACUUUAGAGAAUAAGAUGGAAGAGAUAUAUCCUCUAGUUGGUCGACAGAACGAGUAACGCAGAGCCUGAUUUUCCUCUGGAAUGCAUGCAUGAGUGGCUCUGGUUGUCUUCAGUGUCAGCUGUCUGCCCACACACCCAAGAACAAUGUUUGAUCCACCCUUAU
Chrysemys picta bellii (western painted turtle) is the source of this 604-nucleotide non-coding RNA. The record is from RefSeq and is a predicted model, not a curated record. NCBI's taxonomy places the organism in Eukaryota, Metazoa, Chordata, Testudines, Emydidae.